UCAGCUCAGAACUGGUACG
RNAcentral lists this small RNA (19 nucleotides) under Arabidopsis thaliana (thale cress). RNAcentral's name for it is "Ath_wt_14331". Lineage: Eukaryota; Viridiplantae; Streptophyta; Magnoliopsida; Brassicales; Brassicaceae. The record is from RNAcentral.